This 45-nucleotide non-coding RNA is filed under the name Schistosoma curassoni. Lineage: Eukaryota; Metazoa; Platyhelminthes; Trematoda; Strigeidida; Schistosomatidae. The record is from RNAcentral.
UUCCGGCUGAAGAGUCACACAUAAGACGAAACACACGUCCUGGAU